GGUGGCUCAGUGGUAGAGCGCUUGCCUAGCAUGCAGGAGGCCCUGGGUUUGAUUUCUCAGUACUA
Molecule: transfer RNA, 65 nt
Filed under: Dipodomys ordii (Ord's kangaroo rat)
Lineage: Eukaryota; Metazoa; Chordata; Mammalia; Rodentia; Heteromyidae
Rfam family: tRNA
About the family: Transfer RNA (tRNA) molecules are approximately 80 nucleotides in length. Their secondary structure includes four short double-helical elements and three loops (D, anti-codon, and T loops). Further hydrogen bonds mediate the characteristic L-shaped molecular structure. tRNAs have two regions of fundamental functional importance: the anti-codon, which is responsible for specific mRNA codon recognition, and the 3' end, to which the tRNAs corresponding amino acid is attached (by aminoacyl-tRNA synthetases). tRNAs cope with the degeneracy of the genetic code in two manners: having more than one tRNA (with a specific anti-codon) for a particular amino acid; and 'wobble' base-pairing, i.e. permitting non-standard base-pairing at the 3rd anti-codon position.
Source: Rfam by way of RNAcentral